UGGCAUGUUUUUUUUUAUUUUGCAUGUUCAGUUGAAGCUUCUCCAGUAGAAAAGUUCCUCAAAGCUGAAAGGAUAUCUGUAGACAGCUUUAAGGGAGAAAAUACUUUCAAUGGGGACCAGUCGGAUGCCCACAUGAGCACACUCUCUCAGAGUAGUAAAGAGGACCACUCUGUUUCUGAAGGGUCUCCAAAGAAGGACAAAAAGAAGAAGAAGGGGUUAAGAACUCCUUCAUUCUUGAAGAAGAAAAAAGAAAAGAAAGUUCGUGACGCAUAGGUUUUCAAAGGAAUUUUGAGGUUAUAAAAAAA
This 305-nucleotide long non-coding RNA is filed under the name Leptinotarsa decemlineata (Colorado potato beetle). RNAcentral describes it as "uncharacterized LOC111514098, transcript variant X1". Lineage: Eukaryota; Metazoa; Arthropoda; Insecta; Coleoptera; Chrysomelidae. The record is from RNAcentral.